Molecule: long non-coding RNA, 899 nt
Filed under: Pan troglodytes (chimpanzee)
Lineage: Eukaryota; Metazoa; Chordata; Mammalia; Primates; Hominidae
Description: long non-coding RNA NONPTRT014697
Source: RNAcentral
ACUAUCUCGCUCCCUCUCGCGCCUCCCUCCUCGCUGGGCAUUCAAACAGCUUUCCGACAUCACCAGCCAAGGAUUUUUUCCCCCCUCUCCUUAGUCGCCGUCCGUCCAUCAGUACCUGCAGGGGGGAGGAGGAGGAGGGAGGAAAGCGGAAAGAGGAAAAAGCAUAAGCCUGAGCCUUCCGAUCCGACCACGAAUACUCCUGUAAUAAACCCACCGCCCCAACAAAUCUGCCAUAGCAGCCGCCGCCGCCGCCGGUCACUUCUCGUCUCAGCGCUUUCUUUGCUUCUUGGUUUGUUGGGGGUAGCUUUUAUGAAACAAAUCUUUGCUCUUAAGCCACUUACAUUUUGGGGGGUUCCUUAGAGUCUCCCUUGGGGGGGCUUCUCCCUCCCUUUAGCCCCCCUCGGUUUGGAGGUUGGAUUCAGUUGGAUACGGCGCAAGGUUCUGGGCUCCUGCUGGCUUUUUUUUUCUCUCUCUCAUCGACCCCCCUUUGGUUCCCACCCCCCACCUUUUGCUUUUCGUAUGUAUGCAUUUUUAAAAAUAAAUCCUGAUUUUGGAAGCUGAGCCGGGGAAAAUGGGCAACGGUGAUUGGGACCGAAGGGGAGUCUCUCCGUCACUGUUGCUGGGACGCGUGCCUGUGCUGGUGUCUUAGAGCAAGAGCCUCCCUGAGCUUUCGGAGUGGAAGAACAGUGGAAGAGACUGCAGCCUAAAGACUUUUAAAAUUAACUUGGCAUCACUUUUAUCAGCUCAAAGGCUAAACAAACAAACAAAAGCAGUGUCAUUUAUUCUAAGAAAUAACUUCUUAAAGGUUAAAGCUGAAAAAUAUUCAAGUUAUUUUUGGAUAACAACUUACAGAGGUAAAUAUAACCAAGGACUACUUUAUUAUCCAAAGCCAGGGUUGA